UUAAGCGACUAAGCGUACACGGUGGAUGCCCUGGCAGUCAGAGGCGAUGAAGGACGUGCUAAUCUGCGAUAAGCGUCGGUAAGGUGAUAUGAACCGUUAUAACCGGCGAUUUCCGAAUGGGGAAACCCAGUGUGUUUCGACACACUAUCAUUAACUGAAUCCAUAGGUUAAUGAGGCGAACCGGGGGAACUGAAACAUCUAAGUACCCCGAGGAAAAGAAAUCAACCGAGAUUCCCCCAGUAGCGGCGAGCGAACGGGGAGGAGCCCAGAGCCUGAAUCAGUGUGUGUGUUAGUGGAAGCGUCUGGAAAGGCGCGCGAUACAGGGUGACAGCCCCGUACACAAAAAUGCACAUGCUGUGAGCUCGAUGAGUAGGGCGGGACACGUGGUAUCCUGUCUGAAUAUGGGGGGACCAUCCUCCAAGGCUAAAUACUCCUGACUGACCGAUAGUGAACCAGUACCGUGAGGGAAAGGCGAAAAGAACCCCGGCGAGGGGAGUGAAAAAGAACCUGAAACCGUGUACGUACAAGCAGUGGGAGCCUCUUUAUGGGGUGACUGCGUACCUUUUGUAUAAUGGGUCAGCGACUUAUAUUCUGUAGCAAGGUUAACCGAAUAGGGGAGCCGAAGGGAAACCGAGUCUUAACUGGGCGUUAAGUUGCAGGGUAUAGACCCGAAACCCGGUGAUCUAGCCAUGGGCAGGUUGAAGGUUGGGUAACACUAACUGGAGGACCGAACCGACUAAUGUUGAAAAAUUAGCGGAUGACUUGUGGCUGGGGGUGAAAGGCCAAUCAAACCGGGAGAUAGCUGGUUCUCCCCGAAAGCUAUUUAGGUAGCGCCUCGUGAAUUCAUCUCCGGGGGUAGAGCACUGUUUCGGCAAGGGGGUCAUCCCGACUUACCAACCCGAUGCAAACUGCGAAUACCGGAGAAUGUUAUCACGGGAGACACACGGCGGGUGCUAACGUCCGUCGUGAAGAGGGAAACAACCCAGACCGCCAGCUAAGGUCCCAAAGUCAUGGUUAAGUGGGAAACGAUGUGGGAAGGCCCAGACAGCCAGGAUGUUGGCUUAGAAGCAGCCAUCAUUUAAAGAAAGCGUAAUAGCUCACUGGUCGAGUCGGCCUGCGCGGAAGAUGUAACGGGGCUAAACCAUGCACCGAAGCUGCGGCAGCGACGCUUAUGCGUUGUUGGGUAGGGGAGCGUUCUGUAAGCCUGCGAAGGUGUGCUGUGAGGCAUGCUGGAGGUAUCAGAAGUGCGAAUGCUGACAUAAGUAACGAUAAAGCGGGUGAAAAGCCCGCUCGCCGGAAGACCAAGGGUUCCUGUCCAACGUUAAUCGGGGCAGGGUGAGUCGACCCCUAAGGCGAGGCCGAAAGGCGUAGUCGAUGGGAAACAGGUUAAUAUUCCUGUACUUGGUGUUACUGCGAAGGGGGGACGGAGAAGGCUAUGUUGGCCGGGCGACGGUUGUCCCGGUUUAAGCGUGUAGGCUGGUUUUCCAGGCAAAUCCGGAAAAUCAAGGCUGAGGCGUGAUGACGAGGCACUACGGUGCUGAAGCAACAAAUGCCCUGCUUCCAGGAAAAGCCUCUAAGCAUCAGGUAACAUCAAAUCGUACCCCAAACCGACACAGGUGGUCAGGUAGAGAAUACCAAGGCGCUUGAGAGAACUCGGGUGAAGGAACUAGGCAAAAUGGUGCCGUAACUUCGGGAGAAGGCACGCUGAUAUGUAGGUGAAGCGACUUGCUCGUGGAGCUGAAAUCAGUCGAAGAUACCAGCUGGCUGCAACUGUUUAUUAAAAACACAGCACUGUGCAAACACGAAAGUGGACGUAUACGGUGUGACGCCUGCCCGGUGCCGGAAGGUUAAUUGAUGGGGUUAGCGGUAACGCGAAGCUCUUGAUCGAAGCCCCGGUAAACGGCGGCCGUAACUAUAACGGUCCUAAGGUAGCGAAAUUCCUUGUCGGGUAAGUUCCGACCUGCACGAAUGGCGUAAUGAUGGCCAGGCUGUCUCCACCCGAGACUCAGUGAAAUUGAACUCGCUGUGAAGAUGCAGUGUACCCGCGGCAAGACGGAAAGACCCCGUGAACCUUUACUAUAGCUUGACACUGAACAUUGAGCCUUGAUGUGUAGGAUAGGUGGGAGGCUUUGAAGUGUGGACGCCAGUCUGCAUGGAGCCGACCUUGAAAUACCACCCUUUAAUGUUUGAUGUUCUAACGUUGGCCCCUGAUCGGGGUUGCGGACAGUGUCUGGUGGGUAGUUUGACUGGGGCGGUCUCCUCCUAAAGAGUAACGGAGGAGCACGAAGGUUGGCUAAUCCUGGUCGGACAUCAGGAGGUUAGUGCAAUGGCAUAAGCCAGCUUGACUGCGAGCGUGACGGCGCGAGCAGGUGCGAAAGCAGGUCAUAGUGAUCCGGUGGUUCUGAAUGGAAGGGCCAUCGCUCAACGGAUAAAAGGUACUCCGGGGAUAACAGGCUGAUACCGCCCAAGAGUUCAUAUCGACGGCGGUGUUUGGCACCUCGAUGUCGGCUCAUCACAUCCUGGGGCUGAAGUAGGUCCCAAGGGUAUGGCUGUUCGCCAUUUAAAGUGGUACGCGAGCUGGGUUUAGAACGUCGUGAGACAGUUCGGUCCCUAUCUGCCGUGGGCGCUGGAGAACUGAGGGGGGCUGCUCCUAGUACGAGAGGACCGGAGUGGACGCAUCACUGGUGUUCGGGUUGUCAUGCCAAUGGCACUGCCCGGUAGCUAAAUGCGGAAGAGAUAAGUGCUGAAAGCAUCUAAGCACGAAACUUGCCCCGAGAUGAGUUCUCCCUGAGACUUUAAGUCUCCUGAAGGAACGUUGAAGACGACGACGUUGAUAGGCCGGGUGUGUAAGCGCAGCGAUGCGUUGAGCUAACCGGUACUAAUGAACCGUGAGGCUUAACCUU
RNAcentral lists this ribosomal RNA (2903 nucleotides) under Escherichia coli. RNAcentral's name for it is "bacterial LSU rRNA". It matches the Rfam family "Bacterial large subunit ribosomal RNA". Lineage: Bacteria; Pseudomonadati; Pseudomonadota; Gammaproteobacteria; Enterobacterales; Enterobacteriaceae. RNAcentral also lists the same sequence under 1 other name. The record is from RNAcentral.